GAUGAACGCUGGCGGCGUGCCUAAUACAUGCAAGUCGAGCGAACAGACGAGGAGCUUGCUCCUCUGACGUGAGCGGCGGACGGGAGAGUAACACGUGGAUAACCUACCUAUAAGACUGGGAUAACUUCGGGAAACCGGCUCUAAUACCGGAUAAUAUAUUGAACCGCAUGGUUCAAUAGUGAAAGACGGUUUUGCUGUCACUUAUAGAUGGAUCCGCGCCGCAUUAGCUAGUUGGUAAGGUAACGGCUUACCAAGGCAAGGAUGCGUAGCCGACGGGAGGGACGGAUAGGCCACCUUGGAACUGAGACACCGUCCAGGGUCCUACGGGAGGCACCAGUAGGCAACCUGCGGCAGUGGGCGAAAGCAUUGCGGAACAGCCCCAAGUGAGAGACAGAGGCCUUGGGAUCGUAAAGCUCUGUUAUUAGGGAAGAACAAAUGUGGACGUAACUAUGCACGGAUUGACGGUACCUAAUCAGAAAGCCCCGGCUAACUACGUG
This 497-nucleotide ribosomal RNA is filed under the name uncultured bacterium. RNAcentral describes it as "partial 16S ribosomal RNA". It matches the Rfam family "Bacterial small subunit ribosomal RNA", at positions 28 to 507 of the family's 1533-position model. The record is from RNAcentral.